CAGGGCUGCGUCUGGCCCCAGCUAAGCCCGAGUCAAAGCCGGGCCAACACCGCGUUUAAAGCCCCGUGCGGGGGCAGGAGCUGCAGGAUGCCCAACCCGGCACUCGCCCCGGCUCCCGGGAGCCUGGGAAGGGCCGUGGGAGCUCCCGGGGAACCCGGGGGCUGCUGCCAGCAGAGCUAACGCGGUGCCCUGUCCCCAGCUGCGCCCCCUGUUCCUCCUGGCCCUGGCAGAUUUCCUGGGUGCCACCGCGCUGCUGGGCACGGGAACCAUCGCGCUGCUGCCGGCCCCGCUCUCCGUGCCCGCCUACGCCGCCUGUCCCUACGGGCGGAUGCUGACCACGACCGCCUACGCCGUCUCGUUCCUCAUGGUCCUGGUUUACGCCUACGAGUCGCACCGCACCGUCCUCGGGGGGCGAGCCCGGCCCCCGGCAGCGCUGCAGGAGCGGAGCCGCUGCCUGGAGAGCGCCUGGCAGGGAAUUCCCUACGUGCUGGCCUGG
Ficedula albicollis (Collared flycatcher) is the source of this 496-nucleotide long non-coding RNA. RefSeq lists it as uncharacterized. The record is from RefSeq and is a predicted model, not a curated record. NCBI's taxonomy places the organism in Eukaryota, Metazoa, Chordata, Aves, Passeriformes, Muscicapidae. The transcript has 3 exons.